AUACGGAGGGUGCAAGCGUUAUUCGGAAUCACUGGGCGUAAAGGACGCGUAGGCGGGUUGGCAAGUCAGAUGUGAAAUCCUACAGCUUAACUGUAGAACUGCAUUUGAAACUGCUAACCUAGAGUAUGUGAGAGGGAGAUGGAAUUAGUGGUGUAGGGGUAAAAUCCGUAGAUAUCACUAGGAAUACCGAAAGCGAAGGCGAUCUCCUGGAACAUAACUGACGCUAAGGCGUGAAAGCGUGGGGAGCAAACAGAAUUAGAAACCCUAGUAGUCC
Molecule: ribosomal RNA, 274 nt
Filed under: uncultured bacterium
Lineage: Bacteria
Description: partial 16S ribosomal RNA
Rfam family: Bacterial small subunit ribosomal RNA
Source: RNAcentral